GUCCACGCCGUAACGAUGAAUGCCAGCCGUCGGGUAGCAUGCUAUUCGGUGGCGCAGCUAACGCUUUAAGCAUUCCGCCUGGGGAGUACGGUCGCAAGAUUAAACUCAAAGGAAUUGACGGGGCCCGCACAAGCGGUGGAGCAUGUGGUUUAAUUCGAAGCAACGCGCAGAACCUUACCAGCUCUUGACAUGCCUGGACCGCCACGGAGACGUGGUUUCCCUUCGGGGACCAGGACACAGGUGCUGCAUGGCUGUCGU
RNAcentral lists this ribosomal RNA (258 nucleotides) under uncultured bacterium. RNAcentral's name for it is "partial 16S ribosomal RNA". It matches the Rfam family "Bacterial small subunit ribosomal RNA", at positions 793 to 1055 of the family's 1533-position model. The record is from RNAcentral.